This 75-nucleotide transfer RNA is filed under the name Candidatus Kaiserbacteria bacterium CG10_big_fil_rev_8_21_14_0_10_49_17. RNAcentral describes it as "tRNA-Arg". It matches the Rfam family "tRNA". From Rfam's summary of the family: Transfer RNA (tRNA) molecules are approximately 80 nucleotides in length. The record is from RNAcentral. Lineage: Bacteria; Candidatus Kaiseribacteriota.
GCUCUCGUAGUUCAACGGAUAGAACAAGGGUUUCCUAAACCCUAGAUCCAAGUUCGACUCUUGGCGAGAGCACAA